This 433-nucleotide ribosomal RNA is filed under the name Zonitis immaculata. Its description in RNAcentral is "partial large subunit ribosomal RNA". The record is from RNAcentral. Lineage: Eukaryota; Metazoa; Arthropoda; Insecta; Coleoptera; Meloidae.
UAUAUUGACUGUACAAAGGUAGCAUAAUCAUUAGUUUUUUAAUUGAAAGCUGGAAUGAAUGGCUGAAUAAGGAAAUAACUGUCUCUUUUUAAUUAAGUUGAACUUUAUUUUUAAGUUAAAAAGCUUAAAUUUAAUAGAAAGACGAGAAGACCCUAUAGAGUUUAAUAAAUUAAUAUUUUUAUAGUUUAGGGUUUUAUUAUAUAGAAAUAUUUAUUUAUUUUGUUGGGGUGACAAUAGAAUUUAAUUAACUUCUGGUUUUUAAUCAUUGAUUUAUGAAUAUAUGAUCCUAAUAUUUAGAUUAUAAGAAUAAAUUACCUUAGGGAUAACAGCGUAAUUUUUUUGGAGAGUUCUUAUCGAUAAAAGAGAUUGCGACCUCGAUGUUGGAUUAAAGUUUAAUUUUGGUGUAGAAGCUAAAAUAUUAAGACUGUUCGAC